RNA transcript from Clupea harengus (Atlantic herring), 3610 nucleotides. It is a transcript of the gene named glycerophosphodiester phosphodiesterase domain containing 5b, with no coding region annotated. The transcript is spliced from 19 exons. NCBI's taxonomy places the organism in Eukaryota, Metazoa, Chordata, Actinopteri, Clupeiformes, Clupeidae. The record is from RefSeq and is a predicted model, not a curated record.
UUCCUCUCACGCAUCAUUGGUUGGUAGGUCAGCACUAACUCCGCCCAAUACUCACUGGACGAGAUGCUUAGCGAGAUGUCUCUUCCCGGUGUUGCCUGUAGUGUAGUAGCCUAGUGUUUAAGCAGGGACGCAACUCAACACCCGCUUGUGUAGCCACCGAUACUAGCUACAAAGAAAGGUGUAACAUAUUUCUCAGAACCAUUCAAGAGGGACAGCCUCUUUAUAAUUACACUGCAGUUGAUCAAAGAUGGGAUAUGUCCUGUAGUUUACUAGUAUUUCUUCGGUGCAAUUUUUGUAGCCCAACUCAGAGGCUACCCUUCACUGAAAAUAUUUGGCCGUUUUACGUUUGGUAAGACAAUUGCAGUCGCGAAUAGAGUGGAGCAAAGAACACCUCAGCAAGUUCACCUGACCGAGGAACAAAAGGGCCAUUUAUUUGAAAGAGGAUCGCUGCUCUGGGAUGUUAUUGUGGAGGGGUGGAGGACAGACUGAAGGAGCAUGGUGAAGCACCAGCCGCUGCAGGUCUAUGAGAGGCAGCUCUGUUUGUCAUGUCUGACGGGGAUCUACGGAUGCCGCUGGAAACGCUAUCAGCGGUCACAUGAUGACACUACCAAGUGGGAGUUCCUGUGGUCCUUCAUCUUGUUUGUUACCUUCUCCUUGCUGCUGAUCUGGUUCUACUUCUGGUGGGAAGCCCACAAUGACUACAAUGAGUUUAACUGGUUUUUAUAUAACCGUUCAGGAGAGUGGAGCGAUGGGACAGUUCCAAUCCUGGCCACCACUGCAGCUGGCUUUACAUACAUAGCCUUUUUAAUGAUCUUAGCUCUGUGCCAUGUGGCUGUGGGACAGCAGCUCAACCUGCACUGGCUCCACAAGAUUGGUGUGAUUGCCGCCCUGCUGACCACCAUCAUUGGUGUCAUCGCAGUCAACCAGAUGUGGGGGGAGGAGUGGGACAUCAUCAACAUCUCACUACAGGCCACAGGUCCAUUCCUGCACAUCGGUGCACUGGCAGCAGUGACGGCUUUGUCCUGGCUGGUGGCAGGACAGGUGGCACGGGCGGAGAAAACACGGUUCCAGGUGCUGGUCAUGGUGCUGUAUCUUAGUGUGCUGCUGGCUCUCUACAUGGCCCCCCUUUCCAUCACCUCCCCCUGCAUCAUGGACCAGAGCAGUCUCAAGCCAGCGCCCCAUAUCAUUGGCCAUCAGGGUGCCCCCAUGCUGGCCCCAGAGAACACGGCCCUGUCCUUCCAGAGGGCACUGCGUCUCAACGUCAGCGGCCUGGAGGGAGACGUCACCAUCAGUCUGGAUGGUGUGCCCUUCCUGAUGCGGGACAGCACCCUCAGGAGGACCACAGAUGUGGAGCAAAUGUUUCCUGAGCGGCAGUUUGAUGAUGCAUCCCUCUUCAACUGGACAGACCUUCUCUCUCUCAACGCAGGCCACUGGUUCAUCAAGGAUGACCCCUUCUGGACGGUGCAGUCGAUGUCUCCGCGGGAGCUGCGGCAGGUGGAGAGCCAGCGUGUGUGCAGUCUGCAGCACAUGCUCCGCCUGGCCGCCUCCUCCAACCGCACGGCCAUUCUCCGCCUGCGCCGGCCCCCGCCCCAGCACCCCCGCCACCAGACCUGGCUCAACGACACCCUGGGGAGCAUCCGCCUGUCUGGGAUCCCUCAGCACAUGGUGAUGUGGACGGAGGAGUGGGGGAGGGGGUUUGUGGAGGCGGCGGCUCCAGGCUUCCAGCAGACGUCUCUGGAGAAGCGUCCGGUGGAGGAGCUGCAUCAGAGGGGCAUCAGCCACCUGCUCCUGCGCUACAACCAGGCCAACGAGCGCGACAUCCGGGAGUUCUCCAGUCACAACAUCAGCCUGACGCUGUACACGGUGAAUGAGCCAUGGCUCUUCUCUCUGCUCUGGUGCAGCGGGGUGUCCUCCAUCUCUUCAGAGGCCCCACACAUCCUGCUCAAGAUGCACGCCCCCGUCUGGCUCAUGAGUCCGGAUGAGUACUGUCUGAUUUGGAUUGCCACAGAUGUCAUCUCCUUUGCCGUCGUGCUUGGAGUGUUCGUGUUCCAAAACUUUCACAUGAUCAGGUGGCGGAUGAGUGGCAUGCGCAGCUACAACCCGGAGCAGAUCAUGUUAAGUGCAGCCGUUAGGAGGUCCAGCCGGGAUGUCAACAUCAUGAAGGAGAAACUCAUCUUCUCUGGUGUGUGUGUGUGUGUCUGUGUUUGUGUGGGUGUAUGGAUGUGUCUGCCUAGGGCAUGCUUCUCUCUGAGUGUUCCUGAAUAUCCCCACACCCCACCUAAAGGUCAGCCGCAGCUGUGAGAGAGAGAGUCGCUCUGAGCACCUCGUUCCAUAUCUAUGGCUGAAUCUUUCCUUUCAACUGACCUUCAUUCAUUCAUCCAUCCAUCCAUCCAUGUAUCCAUGUGUGCUCCCCUCCAUCUCUCCAUCCAUCAGUCCAUCCUUUGUUCCAUCCCUUCCUCGUGUGUGCCUCUCGCGGCCUCACCUUCUCUGAGUGUGUUGCCCCGCGCGGGGUGGUUAGAGAGGUGAGCAAUGGAGUUGGUGGUGCAGACGACCUCUACAUGGAAAACGGCUUUGACUGCUACACCAACCAAGGCACUGAUUGACAGGUGUUCAGUACUGAACACGCUCUACUGAAGGACUCACUACUGGCAGAACAGCAGACGCCCCAUUGCUGUCCGGUUCCUCUUGUGCUGCUGACCAAAUAAGGGACUUCUACGAAAGAACGAAAUAUGGGUAUCACCCAAUGCUCUGUAUAUUUUGUAAAAUAUGAAGAAUGUUUUUUUUGUCAUUAUUAUUAUUAUUAUUAUUAUUAUUAUUAUCUUUUGUUUGCUUUUGGUGAAGUCAUGACACUGCAUUGUGUGAGAGGUUUGCCUUCUUUAAAGUGUUUUAUCUGAUCUAGCCUCUUGUCUCGGACAGACUAGAUUCUCCAGCAGUAGAUUUAACCUUUAGUAUGCACGCACUGGAAGACCAUAGGAGUCUAUCUUUUCCUUUGAGGUAAUUACUGUACAGUGUUGUGUGUGUGUGAACACACAGAAGCAGCGUGAGCAUGCUAUUCUCAGUCCAACACGUCUGUUUGAAGCUGAAACGGACUGGAAGAACAAAUGGGAAAAUCCGAACUGGCCAGGUAUAGACUCCCCAAGGGGAACAAAGACAUUUGAUCCUGUCAACAGACAUUCUCCCCCUCUCCCCUGUGCAUGUGAUCCACAUAUCAAGAGGAGCCAAUAAUGCUGUUUCCCCUUCCCCAAAUGGACCUGUUUGAAUGUGUUUGUGGUUUUGUUUUUAACUGAACUCUUGACAUUGUUGUUAUUCUGGUGGCUAGAGGGUUGGAACUGGUUGUGUGCAGUCGUGUCGGAUCUGAGGGGAACAACACCCCUAUCCAGUUCCUCCCCAUUAUUCUUCUGGGACGGGAACUCGGGUUUGACUGAAGUGUUGAACACCAGGCCAGCCACUGAAACCUGAAGAUCCUGAUUUGGAACAGGACUAGUGCUCGUGUGAUGGUAGGACCAGGGCACACCAGAAAUCAGAAAUCGCAAGCAAAUCCCUCCGUUCUUCAUUCUUAUGGUAUUGAUGUGCCUCAGAAGUCGAUGAUUAAAAGCCUCUUAUAAACGGA